GCCAAGUGAGGUGGUGUACACCUGUAGUCCCAGCUACUCAGGAGGCUGAGCCAGGAGGAUCGCUUGAGCCCAGGAGUUCUAGGCUGCAGUGAGCUAGGGGGCACCACUGCACUCCAGCCUGGGUGACAGAGCAAGAACCUGUCUCUU
Molecule: signal recognition particle RNA, 147 nt
Filed under: Homo sapiens (human)
Lineage: Eukaryota; Metazoa; Chordata; Mammalia; Primates; Hominidae
Description: Metazoan signal recognition particle RNA
Rfam family: Metazoan signal recognition particle RNA
About the family: The signal recognition particle (SRP) is a universally conserved ribonucleoprotein.
Source: Rfam by way of RNAcentral